Molecule: ribosomal RNA, 2893 nt
Filed under: Clostridioides difficile
Lineage: Bacteria; Bacillati; Bacillota; Clostridia; Peptostreptococcales; Peptostreptococcaceae
Description: bacterial LSU rRNA
Rfam family: Bacterial large subunit ribosomal RNA
Source: RNAcentral
UCAAGUUAUUAAGGGUGCAGGGCGGAUGCUUGGCACUAGGAGCCGAUGAAGGACGUGAUAAGCUGCGAUAAGCUUCGGGGAGUUGCACGUAAACUUUGAUCCGAAGAUUUCCGAAUGAGGAAACUCACUUAGAGUAAUGUCUAAGUAUCAUUAAGUGAAUACAUAGCUUAAUGAGGGGAACUCAGGGAACUGAAACAUCUAAGUACCUGAAGGAAGAGAAAGAAAUUCGAUUCCGUAAGUAGCGGCGAGCGAACGCGGAUUAGCCCAAACCAAUAAAGUUUUCUUUAUUGGGGUUGCGGACAUAUCAUAACGAAGAGGUAUCGUAAUUGAAGAGGUUUGGAAAGACCCACCACAGAAGGUAAUAGUCCUGUAUGUUAAACGAGAAGACUUUAGAUAUGAUCCAGAGUACCACGGGACACGUGAAACCCUGUGGGAAGCAGGAGGGACCACCCUCCAAGGCUAAAUACUACCUAGUGACCGAUAGCGUAUAGUACCGUGAGGGAAAGGUGAAAAGAACCCCGGGAGGGGAGUGAAAUAGAACCUGAAACCCUGCACUUACAAGCUGUGGAAGCACAUUUCUUGUGUGACCGCGUACUUUUUGUAGAACGGGCCAACGAGUUACGUUAAGUAGCAAGGUUAAGCACUUAAGGUGCGGAGCCGUAGCGAAAGCGAGUUUUAACUGAGCGUUCAGUUACUUGACGUAGACCCGAAACCGGGCGACCUACCCAUGAGCAGGAUGAAGCGAAAGUAAAAUUUCGUGGAGGUCCGAACCCACGAGCGUUGAAAAGCUCGGGGAUGACUUGUGGGUAGCGGUGAAAUUCCAAUCGAGCCCGGAGAUAGCUGGUUCUCCCCGAAAUAGCUUUAGGGCUAGCCUCAAGGUGAGAGAUACGGAGGUAGAGCACUGAAUGUCCUAGGGGGUAUUGCACCUACCGAAGACUAUCAAACUCCGAAUGCCGUCAUCUUAUACUUGGGAGUCAGACUGUGGGUGAUAAGAUUCAUAGUCGAAAGGGCAACAGCCCAGAUCGUCAGCUAAGGUCCCUAAAUGUAAGUUAAGUGGUAAAGGAUGUGGGAUUGCACAGACAACCAGGAUGUUGGCUUAGAAGCAGCCACUCAUUCAAAGAGUGCGUAAUAGCUCACUGGUCGAGUGAUCCUGCGCCGAAGAUUUCCGGGGCUAAAACUUACUACCGAAGCUACGGCAUCAGUAAUGAUGGGUAGGGGAGCUUCCCAUACGGGUUGAAGCAUGACCGUAAGGACAUGUGGACAGUAUGGGAGUGAGAAUGUUGGCAUGAGUAGCGAGAUGUGGGUGAGAAUCCCACAGGCCGUAAACCCAAGGUUUCCAGGGGAAGGUUCGUCCGCCCUGGGUUAGUCGGGACCUAAGCUGAGGCCGAAAGGCGUAGGUGAUGGACAACAGGUUGAUAUUCCUGUACUACCGAUAACCGUUUGAGAGAAGGGAUGACACAGUAGGAUAAGCUAAGCACACUGUUGGUUAUGUGUGCCCAAGCAUUGAGGCAGUCAAAGUAGGCAAAUCCGCUUUGAUAAUGCUGGGAUGUGAUGGGGAGCGAAAUUUAGUAGCGAAGUAGCUGAUUUCACACUGUCAAGAAAAGUCUCUAUCGAGGUUAAAGGUACCCGUACCGCAAACCGACACAGGUGGGUGAGGAGAGUAUCCUAAGGCCAGCGAGAGAACUGUUGUUAAGGAACUCGGCAAAAUGACCCCGUAACUUAGGGAUAAGGGGUGCCACCAUCAGGUGGCCGCAGAGAAUAGGCCCAAGCGACUGUUUACCAAAAACAUAGGUUUCUGCUAAGUCGCAAGACGAUGUAUAGGAGCUGACGCCUGCCCGGUGCUGGAAGGUUAAGGGGAUCUGUUAGAGCAAUCGAAGCAGUGAACUUAAGCCCCAGUAAACGGCGGCCGUAACUAUAACGGUCCUAAGGUAGCGAAAUUCCUUGUCGGGUAAGUUCCGACCCGCACGAAAGGCGUAACGAUUUGGGCACUGUCUCAACAACAGACUCGGUGAAAUUGUAAUUCCGGUGAAGAUGCCGGAUACCUGCGACAGGACGGAAAGACCCCAUGGAGCUUUACUGUAGCUUGACAUUGGGUCUUGGUACUACAUGUACAGGAUAGGUGGGAGGCUUUGAAACCAGGACGCCAGUUUUGGCGGAGCCAUCCUUGGGAUACCACCCUUGUAGUACUGGGACUCUAACCAUAGGCCAUGAAUCUGGUCUUGGGACACUGUCAGGUGGGCAGUUUGACUGGGGCGGUCGCCUCCCAAAAGGUAACGGAGGCGCUCAAAGGUUCUCUCAGUACGGUCGGAAAUCGUACGUAGAGUGUAAAGGCAAAAGAGAGCUUGAUUGCAAGACAUACAGGUCGAGCAAGGAUGAAAAUCGGACUUAGUGAUCCGGUGGUUCUGCGUGGAAGGGCCAUCGCUCAACGGAUAAAAGCUACCCUGGGGAUAACAGGCUUAUCUCCCCCAAGAGUCCACAUCGACGGGGAGGUUUGGCACCUCGAUGUCGGCUCAUCACAUCCUGGGGCUGUAGUAGGUCCCAAGGGUUGGGCUGUUCGCCCAUUAAAGUGGUACGCGAGCUGGGUUCAGAACGUCGUGAGACAGUUCGGUCCCUAUCCGUCGCAGGCGUAGGAAAUUUGAGAAGACCUGUCCUUAGUACGAGAGGACCGGGAUGGACGUACCUCUGGUGUACCAGUUGUCCUGCCAAGGGCAUGGCUGGGUAGCUAUGUACGGAAUGGAUAAGCGCUGAAAGCAUCUAAGCGCGAAGCCAACUUCAAGAUAAGAUUUCCCACCGCAAGGGUAAGACCCCAGAAAGACUAUCUGGUUGAUAGGUCGAAGGUGUAAGUGCAGCAAUGUAUUUAGCUUAUCGAUACUAAUAGGUCGAGGACUUGACC